Daphnia pulicaria is the source of this 1102-nucleotide long non-coding RNA. RefSeq lists it as uncharacterized. The record is from RefSeq and is a predicted model, not a curated record. Lineage: Eukaryota; Metazoa; Arthropoda; Branchiopoda; Diplostraca; Daphniidae. The transcript has 3 exons.
AAAAAAUGUAGAAAAGUUCAACUUCUAAUUUGCAUUUUGCCAUUUUGGAAUGCAAAUGUGUAAUGAAAAUGUGAGAGAACAGCAUCGUUAAUCUAAAACCUGGCAAUGUCGGGUCAGACGACCAAAAUAUCGUCAAAGAACUGAAAGAAGAUGGCGGGAGGUGGGCAAUAUCAUGUAUCAUAUCAGACCAUUGCAAGUCCGCAAUACGGUGAUGUUAAACUAUUCUGGGUAAAGAUUACAUUGCAAUAUGUUCGCUGUGUAAUGCUUGAAUAUUUUAAUUCCUAAAGUACGUAAUCAUUUUCAUAACUAGUCAAAGUUGAAGUUACCUUCGAAAUCAGUGUAGAGGGCUGGAGGCCUGGUAACUCAAUCGCUUUGAUAUUCGUGUACGUUUUUUUACAAGCAAACUGGUUAUAUACCUAGAUCCCUGUGCCAAAGCAUAUUUCUUUAAUUUCAUGUUCAAAGGGCUAUAUGAUGUAUACCAACAAUCCCAAAUGCCACAAAUAGUGCAUUGCCCACCAAACCGGAGAUGAUUUUGUUUGACUCAGCAAACUUUGGGUUUACGAAGUUAAACAAAGAAAUGAAAGUUCCGAGAGUGAUUGCCACUGACCCACUGUUCAUCUCAAGUUCAACAGCAGCUGCCAAAUGUUCCUGGGAUAACGAGCGCCUGUUUAGUGUAACUGAUUCGACAAUUACUUGCUUGGCCGUUUGCUUCGCAUCAGAGUGGUCCUAGUUCGCCCACCGUUAAUCCGGUUGAACAAAUCGAGCCGCAACCGGGAAAGUCUGGUGGUUAUUCCAUGGAAAUUAACUUGGAAUUGGAAUUCCGUGAAGUGCUGCCAAGUUUGGAUCGUGGACCAAAUCAUUCAUCGGGCUGAAGAAAAUCUUAUUUCUCUUGGAUGCGCAACAGCUCACAUGUCUCAUCCAGGAGCAACUUGCUUAUUGGUCCCCACUGGAAUCAAUCCCAUUGGAAUGGGAAUCCAGCAAAGAAAACCAUCAACCGAAUUUUCCAGUGUCGUACCAAAUUAGAUCGGUGCCCAUCUUCGACAUCGGGAGCCGCUGCUUCAGUCAAUCUACUAGACAGCUUCAACCCUUUCUUUCAAUCGGC